Molecule: long non-coding RNA, 1143 nt
Filed under: Delphinapterus leucas (beluga whale)
Lineage: Eukaryota; Metazoa; Chordata; Mammalia; Artiodactyla; Monodontidae
Description: lncRNA (ENSDLEG00000011182.1)
Source: RNAcentral
CAGAGAGGGACUUCCCUGGUGGACCAGUGGUUAGGACUCCCGAACUUCCACUUCAGGGAGCAACUGGUCAGGGAACUAAGAUCCCGCAAGCCGCGUGGCACGGCCAAAAAAAUAAUAACAACAAAAAUAACACAGAGAAAUAAAUCAAAAUGCUACUAGGUAGGAUGGAAACUUACUAAUGCUUCCCGCGUUUUCCUAUUUUUCUGCAAUUGGCCUGUAUCCCUUUAAUAACAGGAAAUGUUACAAAAAUGAAAGGCGCCUGCGCGAGCACACACGUGACUUCUCCCGGGUAUGAGGAACUCCUUAUCGCGUUCUUCCUUCAGACGGCUGCCUCCUGGUCCAGUCUUGUGCCCAGAAGAUGGUUUUUCUUGGCUCUGGGACUAAAUGGAGUGAACACCUGGUCCAGAUUUGCUUGGCUCUUUCUUCUCUAAGCAACUAAUUCCUGAUGGAAAAUAUGCCUACACCACUUAGACUCACACCAAAGACCAGGGAGAGCUUCCAUUUAUCCUGUCGCUUUGAUUUCACUUCUGCCUCCUGAAGGUGUAGUCAGCCCAGGCAAGCCUCAUCCGGUGCUUCACGACACAGAAGAGAGUUUGGCCUGGCUGACUGCAUGAUUAUCACAGUGCAACAGAACCUUGGCAGUAGCCUUUUAAGCAGGGUGCUGUGUUUCUGAAGACUGCAUCGCAAAAGAGAAACUCAGAGCCGCACCAAGAUUCAACCUGCAACACGUGCGGGUGACCAGCCCGGCGUACACCCACUUUUCUAUGCCAAGUUACUCUUCUCAUCUGCGACUGGCCUACUUACUUUCAUUCUGCCUCCUUCUCCCAUACUCCUCAGUCUAGCCUGUUCCAUGAGCUGCCACACCCUGAUUCUAUCUGAUGUUUUCAUCCCUCACUUCAACCAGUGGAGCUGGUAGAAGUCGGCUCCUACUGGCUCAAGAAAGCGAUUGUGCAUUGUUCUUCCCAAUGUCACGUUCAAAAAUAUGACAUUGGUGGCUUGCAGUCGGGCAUGGUAAGGGUAAUUACGUCACAGAAAUCAGCAAAUCCUACAGUUAGGGCUUCUCCCCCCUCCAGAGAGCCAGUUGUUAAACAUUUACUACCAUCCAACUGACUUUACUCCUUUUCAAAAGUUAAAUCAAAUAAG